AUAUAGUUCUAAUCUAAUCUGAUUCAAAUUUAUACAGUGCAGGAAAUUGUCCCAAUUUUAUUUUUUCUAUAUAGCAACCCAGUAUAAAAUCUACUUAUUGACUUUAUCUUUUCCUCCAGGUUCUUAAACUUGACAGCUUCAUAUAUUGUAAAGUUCUUUAUAUAUAGAUUUAUUUAUAUUACUAACCUAUUUCAUAGAUGAUUUCAUUUCACUGAAAAAUCCCAAAUUAUUAAACUAGAAAAGAAGUUAUGUUAUCUAGGAAUCUGCUUUAGAAAUUCAGAUAAAACAAAGCUCACUAUUAUACAAAUAAGAAAGCCAUGACUAUUCUUAAAUAUACAAGAAUGAAUUAGUAUUAAAAGUAUUAAUUGGCAAUUAAGUUCAUUUUUCCUCCUAGUGAAGCUAUAACACAGUUGAAAAGCUGAAACCAGAGAAUAUUAAUUAGUGAUUUCUGAAUUUCUGAAGUGCACACAGUAGUCACUGGUUUUUACUUUCUUUUUUUUUUUUUUUAAACACAAGACUAAUAUAAAAUAGCUAGCAAUAUAUUUAGUAUAGAAAUAACUAUCUUACUUGUAACAGAAGCAGCUGGAGAAGACGAUCAUGGCGACAAUACAGACAGCCAUAGAGAUGAGCACAGCCAGCCAUCGGACGCUGCCAUCAAAGAAUGGGCCUGAGAAAAAAGGCGACAAUGAAGUAUGGGUCUUCCUGCUGCACCACAGCACUGAAUUCUAGAAGAAUAAAAGCAGACUUCGCCCCAGACAAUGGUCACUAAUGCUCCACAGCUGUGCAGACAGUCACGUGCGUCCAUACCUUCUAACAGGAGUGAGUACGGAAGACGAAGACACUUUUUCCUCUGGAAAGCACCAGAUAAAGAGUUUUGCCUUACAGAGUAACCAUAAGGCAAGAAGAUGAAAUGCACCAAAUACUUAGCAAACUAAAUGCAAACAGGUAAUGUUCAAUAAAUUGAUUUCUUCUUUC
Molecule: non-coding RNA, 975 nt
Organism: Rattus norvegicus (Norway rat)
Lineage: Eukaryota; Metazoa; Chordata; Mammalia; Rodentia; Muridae
Source: RefSeq, a predicted model, not a curated record